This 88-nucleotide transfer RNA is filed under the name Dolichovespula panda. Its description in RNAcentral is "tRNA-Arg". The record is from RNAcentral. Lineage: Eukaryota; Metazoa; Arthropoda; Insecta; Hymenoptera; Vespidae.
UUAUUAUAAAUAUAUCUUUAAUAUGAAGGAAAAAAUUUCCAUUUAAUUUCGACUUAAAAAUAUGAUUAAUAAUAUUAAUCCAUAUUAA